UUGGGAAUAUUGGACAAUGGGGGCAACCCUGAUCCAGCAAUGCCGCGUGAGUGACGAAGGCCUUCGGGUCGUAAAGCUCUUUCAGCAGGGAACAAGGGAAACUUGAUGGUACCUGAAGAAGAAGCACCGGCUAACUCCGUGCCAGCAGCCGCGGUAAUACGGAGGGUGCAAGCGUUGUUCGGAAUCAUUGGGCGUAAAGCGCGUGUAGGCGGCUAUUUAAGUCUGAUGUGAAAGCCCGGGGCUUAACCCCGGAAGUGCAUUGGAUACUGAAUAGCUAGAGGGCGAGAGAGGAUAGUGGAAUUCCUGGUGUAGGGGUGAAAUCCGUAGAUAUCAGGAGGAACAUCAGUGGCGAAGGCGGCUAUCUGGCUCGCAUCUGACGCUCAGACGCGAAAGCGUGGGGAGCAAACAGG
This 410-nucleotide ribosomal RNA is filed under the name uncultured bacterium. Its description in RNAcentral is "bacterial SSU rRNA". It matches the Rfam family "Bacterial small subunit ribosomal RNA", at positions 355 to 776 of the family's 1533-position model. The record is from RNAcentral.